CAUACCUGUUCGAGCGUCAUUACACCUCUCAAACCCAGGUUUGAUGUUGGGCAUUGCUGUUAGGGCAUGCCUAAAAAUUAGCGAUGGUAACCUACAACCACAGGCGCACAGAUGUCGCAAUGAUGGAAGUUGGCCACCAGUCUUAAACUAAAUUUCUGAAUGUUGACCUCGGAUCAGGUAGGGAUACCCGCUGAACUUAA
This 200-nucleotide unclassified non-coding RNA is filed under the name soil metagenome. Its description in RNAcentral is "partial contains internal transcribed spacer 2 and large subunit ribosomal RNA". The record is from RNAcentral.